RNAcentral lists this RNase P RNA (458 nucleotides) under Candidatus Cloacimonadota bacterium. Its description in RNAcentral is "RNase P RNA component class A". It matches the Rfam family "Bacterial RNase P class A". From Rfam's summary of the family: Ribonuclease P (RNase P) is a ubiquitous endoribonuclease, found in archaea, bacteria and eukarya as well as chloroplasts and mitochondria. Its best characterised activity is the generation of mature 5'-ends of tRNAs by cleaving the 5'-leader elements of precursor-tRNAs. The record is from RNAcentral. Lineage: Bacteria; Pseudomonadati; Candidatus Cloacimonadota.
CAAAGUGGGAUAAAUGUCUGCUUCCCUGAAAUAGGGGAGAGGAAAGUCCGGGCACCAAAGGGCGGGAUACUUCCUAACGGGAAGCUCUGGUGACGGAGAGCUAGCUCCACAGAAACAAACCGCCCUUCACUAUUUUAACUUUGUUGGUGAUUGUUUACGAUGAUAACUUGAAAUGCUAAAAUGGUGAAGGGUAAGGGUGAAAUGGUAGUGUAAGAGACUACCGGAUAUAUUGGUGACAAUAUAUGCCAGGAAUGCCUUAUUCGGUGCAAUGCUAAAUAGGAGAACAGUGCCUCGUGCCGUAUGUCUGCCCGGCAUACUUUGUUCUCGGGUGAGCAGCUAAAACCGGUUUGGGAAACCAAAUCUCCUUAAGGGGAAUAGUAAUAUCCGGUUCAGACAAAUAGACAUUGUUCUGUUUAUUAAACAGAAUACAGAACCCGGCUUAUUUCCCUCUUUGACAU